Molecule: long non-coding RNA, 1477 nt
Organism: Sebastes umbrosus (honeycomb rockfish)
Lineage: Eukaryota; Metazoa; Chordata; Actinopteri; Perciformes; Sebastidae
Exons: 4
Source: RefSeq, a predicted model, not a curated record
GAGGGCUGGUCCAGCCAAGAUCCAGUUCCUUUAUUUAUUUCAAUCGCUCAGCUUGAAAGAAAAUGCCUUGAUUUAUAAAACAGGUCAUGGCAUGUGCGUAGGCUGCUUAGACCUCUACACUCUAUAAUAUUCUGUACAUUAUGCACUUGAUUGAUUCAUGUAGUCUCUCAUUAAGCUUAAGUACAGUCAAAGCCAACACUUAGUAAGAAUGUGAUGCUACUCAAAGACGUGCAAGAGAAUAGGCAGGCGUCCUGGUAGCCCAGUGGUUCCCUGGUUUCAUCCUGGUUAGGGACCUUUGUUGCAUGUUGUACCUCUUUCUUGCUCCCAAUGUUCUCUGUUUGUAUUUUUAAUCUGCUCUUCCUCUGGUAUGUAUUUAUAUUAGACAUCAUUUCAGCACCAGGAGCUUUCCACGAGAGUCACCUCUCUCUCUCCUGGACUCUGGAGUUGGACAACUGGUGGAUCAGCUCAAGGUGAGUGAGAGUCUGCUAAGUCUGUAUUUGGAUGAGUAUGGAUGGAGGAGACCAGAGGAGGAGAGUCCUUGGGAUGCACUCAUUGCUGGGGUCAACUAUGAAGGUCAUGUAACAGAUGUGUGAUGCUGCUGUAAACCAGACAUUCUCCAGUUUGUCCCUGGUGGAGCUGGAAUAGUGAUGCCAUCCAGUUUGGAGGAGACCUUUCACUUCAUCGAUGACGCCCCGUGUUUCAACACUGUGGGAGAAGUGGGCAGACACAGACUGGAAUGAAGAAGCGCUUGGAUCAAUAAUAGUGAGACAGCUGCUCUUUGGAGAAUGAGUAGUCUUGAAUAAAACAACAACAAAAAAAAGCUAAUGCUGAGUCAGGAUUAAAUGCAUAAAGAAACAAUGUUUUGAAAGUGGUAGCAAAACACGAAACAUUACAGCUUCACUUACAUCUACACUCUUUCAACACCCUAACCCACCUGAUCAUUUAUUACAAAGGUUACACCAUUUAACAUUCACUUAUACAGUAUGUUAUUCUUAAAUAUUCAAGGCUGAUCUGUGUGAUUGUGAUCUGAUCAACACUAAUCUCUACCGCUCCCUUCUCCCAAACAGCUGCAGGCCUGUCUGCCUCUGUACUGACUCACUGGUCUGUUAUUAAAGGUGUAUUUAUCCAUCUCUCUGCCUGGCUGCACAUACACACACUUAUUGUUCUCCUCCUCAUACACUACACACACACACAAGAUACACAUGUGUGUGUAUCUUGUGUGUGUGUAGUGUAUGAUUCAGUGGGAUGUGUGUGUGUUUCCACUGAGCAGGGGUCAUUCAGGACGGUUUGUGUUUAUAUUCAGGUGUCUGAUUCUGUCCUCGUUAUGGGCUGUGAAUGCAUGGAAGCAUGCAUGGAGAUGCAUGUGUAUGUUUGUGUGUUUAUCAGUUCAGUGUCAGUUCAAUGUUUAUAUACUAUAUACAUUAUAUACUGCUGGCAUUUUAAUUCCUGUUUAUGUUUUGACCAAUUUAUUGCUGCG